UGAGAGGAAGAAAAAAGAAGGGGGAAUCUUUGGAGUGAUGACAUUUGUCUUCCCAAGUCACCAUUACCUGAGGUAAACUGUCUCAAUCCAUGGAUUUUUGUCACUUCUAGUCUUCUGAUCCUCUCCCCUAUUGCACUGAAUCAGCGAAAAGAAUGAUGAAAAAAACACGAUGGCCUGAUCAAAACCAUUAAAUAAUU
Vidua macroura (Pin-tailed whydah) is the source of this 197-nucleotide long non-coding RNA. RefSeq lists it as uncharacterized. The record is from RefSeq and is a predicted model, not a curated record. Lineage: Eukaryota; Metazoa; Chordata; Aves; Passeriformes; Viduidae. The transcript has 3 exons.